This 324-nucleotide ribosomal RNA is filed under the name uncultured eukaryote. RNAcentral's name for it is "partial 18S ribosomal RNA". It matches the Rfam family "Eukaryotic small subunit ribosomal RNA", at positions 1470 to 1796 of the family's 1831-position model. The record is from RNAcentral.
CCCUUAGAUGUCCUGGGCUGCACGCGCGCUACACUGAUGUGUCCAGUAAGCACCUAACCUCUUCCGAAAGGAACGGGUAACCUUUGCAAAGCACAUCGUGAUGGGGAUAGAUUAUUGCAAUUAUUAGUCUUGAACUAGGAAUUCCUAGUAAGCACAAGUCAUCAGCUUGUGUUGAUUACGUCCCUGCCCUUUGUACGCACCGCCCGUCGCUCCUACCGAUUGAAUGUUCCGGUGAGCUCUUCGGACUGCGCGGUCUGCAGUUUCUGCGUUCCGUGCGGAAAGUUGCGCAAACCUUAACAUUUAGAGGAAGGAGAAGUCGUAACA